RNAcentral lists this ribosomal RNA (254 nucleotides) under uncultured bacterium. RNAcentral describes it as "partial 16S ribosomal RNA". It matches the Rfam family "Bacterial small subunit ribosomal RNA", at positions 524 to 776 of the family's 1533-position model. The record is from RNAcentral.
GACGUAGGGCGCGAGCGUUGUCCGGAUUUAUUGGGCGUAAAGAGCUCGUAGGCGGCUUGUUACGUCGACUGUGAAAACCCGCGGCUCAACUGCGGGCCUGCAGUCGAUACGGGCAGGCUAGAGUUCGGUAGGGGAGACUGGAAUUCCUGGUGUAGCGGUGAAAUGCGCAGAUAUCAGGAGGAACACCGGUGGCGAAGGCGGGUCUCUGGGCCGAUAUUGACGCUGGAGGAGCGAAAGCGUGGGGAGCGAACAGG